CCCUGCCAUUUGUACACACCGCCCGUCGCUACUACCGAUUGAAUGGCUUAGUGAGGCCUUCGGAUUGGCUUCUGGGAGCCGGCAACGGCACCUAGUCGCUGAGAAGUUGUACGAACUUGGUCAUUUAGAGGAAG
Molecule: ribosomal RNA, 134 nt
Filed under: uncultured eukaryote
Lineage: Eukaryota
Description: partial small subunit ribosomal RNA
Rfam family: Eukaryotic small subunit ribosomal RNA
Source: RNAcentral